AAUGCACCAAUUUGUAAGUCGCUCUGGAUAAGAGCGUCUGCUAAUUGACGUAAA
Salmo salar (Atlantic salmon) is the source of this 54-nucleotide non-coding RNA. The record is from Rfam. Lineage: Eukaryota; Metazoa; Chordata; Actinopteri; Salmoniformes; Salmonidae.